CCAAUAGCGUAUAUUAAAGUUGUUGCAGUUAAAAAGCUCGUAGUUGAAUUUCGGGGUUAGUAGGUUGGUCAUGCCUCUGGUAUGUACUGGUCUCACUGAUUCCUCCUUCCUGAUGAGCCGUGAUGCCAUUAAUUUGGUGUUGCGGGGAAUUUGGACUGUUGCUUUGAAAAAAUUAGAGUGUUUAAAGCAAGCUAACGCUUGAAUACAUUAGCAUGGAAUAAUGAAAUAGGACGUUCGAUCCUAUUUUGUUGGUUUCUAGGAUUGACGUAAUGAUUAAUAGGGAUAGUUGGGGGCAUUAGUAUUCAAUUGUCAGAGGUGAAAUUCUUGGAUUUAUUGAAGACUAACUACUGCGAAAGCAUUUGCCAAGGAUGUUUUCAUUAAUCAAGGACGAAAGUUAGGGGAUCGAAGACGAUCAGAUACCGUCGUAGUCUUAACCAUAAACUAUGCCGACUAGGGAUCGGAUGAUGUUAAUUUUUUAAUGACUCAUUCGGCGCCUUACG
RNAcentral lists this ribosomal RNA (500 nucleotides) under uncultured Glomeromycotina. RNAcentral's name for it is "partial small subunit ribosomal RNA". It matches the Rfam family "Eukaryotic small subunit ribosomal RNA", at positions 591 to 1092 of the family's 1831-position model. The record is from RNAcentral. Lineage: Eukaryota; Fungi; Glomeromycota.